This 496-nucleotide ribosomal RNA is filed under the name uncultured bacterium. RNAcentral's name for it is "partial 16S ribosomal RNA". It matches the Rfam family "Bacterial small subunit ribosomal RNA", at positions 28 to 506 of the family's 1533-position model. The record is from RNAcentral.
GAUGAACGCUGGCGGCGUGCCUAAUACAUGCAAGUCGAGCGAACAGACGAGGAGCUUGCUCCUUUGACGUUAGCGGCGGACGGGUGAGUAACACGUAGGUAACCUACCUAUAAGACUGGGAUAACUUCGGGAAACCGGAGCUAAUACCGGAUAAUAUUUCGAACCGCAUGGUUCGAUAGUGAAAGAUGGCUUUGCUAUCACUUAUAGAUGGACCUGCGCCGUAUUAGCUAGUUGGUAAGGUAACGGCUUACCAAGGCAACGAUACGUAGCCGACCUGAGAGGGGGAUCGGCCACGCUGGAACUGAGACACGGUCCAGACUCCUACGGGAGGCAGCAGUAGGGAAUCUUCCGCAAUGGGCGAAAGCCUGACGGAGCAACGCCGCGUGAGUGAUGAAGGUCUUCGGAUCGUAAAACUCUGUUAUUAGGGAAGAACAAACGUGUAAGUAACUGUGCACGUCUUGACGGUACCGAAGCAGAAAGCCACGGCUAACUACGU